CCGGGCCGCCCCGCACCGCGUCUCCCUCCCCGCAUUCCCCGCGGCUGCCCCGCGUCCCGUCCUGUGACUCCGUGCCGGAGCCGGUGCUCGCCGCCCGCCUCCUCAGCCAUACUGGUGCGGUACUGGCGCGAUACUGGCGGCACUGGGCUCGCAGAACUUCUCAGCUGCGUUGCACUUCGAUUUGAGUUUAGCCCAGGAACUCCUGCAGCAUUGGUUAAUCCUCGAGGAGGGAGAACUGCUGAGAUCUUUAGCGAGCUCUCCCCUACCACGGAUACUUCCUAUAGCUCCAGCGUCUCUGUGAGGGAUGUACAGCUACGAGAUGUGAAGAUCUUUCAGAUUCUUCUGACCAGGGGAACUUCGUGGGGUUGCUUCUGCUGUGUUCACCCACGGACAAGCUCAGCUGCUGCUUAAGUUCUCCGGAUGCACUGGAGGUGUUGAAAGUUGGGGUCAGCUCUAGCAAUGCCAACCCAACCCUGGUGUCCUGAUGUGUCCCCACCACAGGGAUUCCAAGAGAAAGCAGCAGCGACAGGGAAUGUUUGCCUCCAGGCCUGUUUGCCAGUGCAAAAGUGUUGCGACCUGCUGAUGGAGACAGGUUAUGUAUCGUUACAGCAUAAAUUAUGGAAAGGGCUGGAAUUUCUGUUUGAGCAGCUUCAUGAAAAACUGAACUUUGACUGAACACAAACAGCAAAUAAAGCGGGAAACGAGAUAAAAAAUGAUGCAGGCCUUAGUUUCUUUGAAGGUGAAAUGACUGAUCCCAGGUGUCAGCACCUCAGAGACCUGCUCAGCCUUUUAUAGGACUCUUGGACAGUUUAUAGACACCAGCUGACAGCUGUAAAGUUCACCUGAAGCUGUUCAGAAGUUUAAAACACCUCAUUACAAUUUAUCUGGAACUAUUAAUGCACAAAAAGGCAAAAAUUGACUAGAGUGGCUGAGGAACUCUUCUGUCCUGUCUUUAAAAAGUGGAUGUAAACCUGUCAGCUUUUACAGCUGUCCUCACACUGCUUCAACUAAACAUAUAUUUGGAGAGGAGAUCUGGCAUUUCUCUCCCAGCCCAGAGUCCUGCUGCUCCUGGUGCCAGGUCCAGAGCAGGGACAGGGUGUGAGGCAGCUUCUGCAGCAUCAGCAGCAUCAGCUUCAUCAACAUCAUCAACAUCAGUGGCAUCAGCAGGAUCAACAUCUUCAUUCCUUCCCAAGAAAAGUACUGAUACCUCA
Long non-coding RNA from Pipra filicauda (Wire-tailed manakin), 1211 nucleotides. RefSeq lists it as uncharacterized. Lineage: Eukaryota; Metazoa; Chordata; Aves; Passeriformes; Pipridae. The record is from RefSeq and is a predicted model, not a curated record. The transcript has 7 exons.